Molecule: ribosomal RNA, 247 nt
Filed under: uncultured bacterium
Lineage: Bacteria
Description: partial 16S ribosomal RNA
Rfam family: Bacterial small subunit ribosomal RNA
Source: RNAcentral
GGGUGCGAGCGUUGUCCGGAAUCAUUGGGCGUAAAGCGCGCGUAGGUGGCCAUUUAAGUCCGCUGUGAAAGUCAAAGGCUCAACCUUUGAAAGCCGGUGGAUACUGGAUGGCUAGAGUACGGAAGAGGCGAGUGGAAUUCCUGGUGUAGCGGUGGAAUGCGCAGAUAUCAGGAGGAACACCAAUAGCGAAGGCAGCUCGCUGGGACGUUACUGACACUGAGGCGCGAAAGCGUGGGGAGCGAACAGG